AAGUCGUAACAAGGUUUCCGUAGGUGAACCUGCGGAAGGAUCAUUAACGCGCCGUCGGGGGCCUCCCCGCCUUGAAAGAGGCGGCCGGCUCCCGCACCUGGCCACCCUUGUCUAUUCUACCUGUUGCUUUGGCGGGCCCCGGCACCCUUCUUUGGGUGAGCGGGCCGGGGGGCUUCUGAGCCCCCGGGAUAGCGCCCGCCGAAGACCAACCGAAUUCACCAUGAAGAAUGAAGUCUGAGCUUAACUAAAUCAGUUAAAACUUUCAACAACGGAUCUCUUGGUUCC
This 285-nucleotide unclassified non-coding RNA is filed under the name fungal sp. RNAcentral's name for it is "partial internal transcribed spacer region". The stretch from base 1 to 46 matches the Rfam family "Eukaryotic small subunit ribosomal RNA", at positions 1786 to 1831 of the family's 1831-position model. The record is from RNAcentral. Lineage: Eukaryota; Fungi.